Molecule: ribosomal RNA, 497 nt
Filed under: uncultured bacterium
Lineage: Bacteria
Description: partial 16S ribosomal RNA
Rfam family: Bacterial small subunit ribosomal RNA
Source: RNAcentral
GAUGAACGCUGGCGGCGUGCCUAAUACAUGCAAGUCGAGCGAACAGACGAGGAGCUUGCUCCUCUGACGUUAGCGGCGGACGGGUGAGUAACACGUGGAUAACCUACCUAUAAGACUGGGAUAACUUCGGGAAACCGGAGCUAAUACCGGAUAAUAUAUUGAACCGCAUGGUUCAAUAGUGAAAGACGGUUUUGCUGUCACUUAUAGAUGGAUCCGCGCCGGAUUAGCUAGUUGGUAAGGUAACGGCUUACCAAGGCAACGAUGCGUAGCCGACCUGAGAGGGUGAUCGGCCACACUGGAACUGAGACACGGUCCAGACUCCUACGGGAGGCAGCAGUAGGGAAUAUUCCGCAAUGGGCGCAAGCCUGACGGAGCAACGCCGCGUGAGUGAUGAAGGUCUUCGGAUCGUAAAACUCUGUUAUUAGGGAAGAACAGAUGUGUAAGUAACUAUGCACGUCUUGACGGUACCUAAUCAGAAAGCCACGGCUAACUACGUG